This 470-nucleotide ribosomal RNA is filed under the name uncultured Glomus. Its description in RNAcentral is "SSU rRNA". It matches the Rfam family "Eukaryotic small subunit ribosomal RNA", at positions 569 to 1045 of the family's 1831-position model. The record is from RNAcentral. Lineage: Eukaryota; Fungi; Glomeromycota; Glomeromycetes; Glomerales; Glomeraceae.
AGCAGCCGCGGUAAUUCCAGCUCCAAUAGCGUAUAUUAAAGUUGUUGCAGUUAAAAAGCUCGUAGUUGAAUUUCGGGAUCAAAUUGUUGGUCGUGCCUCGGUACGCACUGGUAUUAUUGGUUCCUACCUUCUGAAGAACCGCGAUGUCAUUAAUUUGGUGUCGUGGGGAAUCAGGACUGUUACUUUGAAAAAAUUGAGUGUUUAAAGCAGGCUUACGCUUGAAUACAUUAGCAUGGAAUAAUGAAAUAGGACGUUUGAUUCUAUUUUGUUGGUUUCUAGGAUUGACGUAAUGAUUAAUAGGGAUAGUUGGGGGCAUUAGUAUUCAAUUGUCAGAGGUGAAAUUCUUGGAUUUAUUGAAGACUAACUACUGCGAAAGCAUUUGCCAAGGAUGUUUUCAUUAAUCAAGAACGAAAGUUAGGGGAUCGAAGACGAUCAGAUACCGUCGUAGUCUUAACCAUAAACUAUGCCGA